Molecule: long non-coding RNA, 406 nt
Organism: Mauremys mutica (yellowpond turtle)
Lineage: Eukaryota; Metazoa; Chordata; Testudines; Geoemydidae
Exons: 3
Source: RefSeq, a predicted model, not a curated record
CUGUGCUUGGGUGGUUGCCUACUAUUGUUUCCAGCUGUGUCACUAGAUAAAGGGACAUUAAUUGAUCCUUCCAUUUAGCCUGAAUGAAGGAUACCUAGCACAUGCAUCAGCUUUCACCAGGGGGAGAGAGAGAUCACAGAGUUUAGACUGCUGCUGGCAACCAAAAGAAAACCAGUUCAUCAGACACAAAGGAGGACCAAAUCCUGGGACUGAUGCUAACAAAGCUAAGAUCCUGCCACCAUUUUGAAAGACAUCACUCAUCCUUGCAAGCACCUCCACCCAGUCGCAGUCUUUCAGGGCUCCCAUGUGAUCAGCGAUACCAGCAAAUGCAUGAAAGUCAUUCACAGAUAAUACGAAGAACAUGCUUACAUUCUUGAAUGUUCUAUGCCUGAUCCAUGCACAUUAG